ACAUCAUAAUCGCAAGUGCCC
This 21-nucleotide non-coding RNA is filed under the name Arabidopsis thaliana (thale cress). Lineage: Eukaryota; Viridiplantae; Streptophyta; Magnoliopsida; Brassicales; Brassicaceae. The record is from RNAcentral.